GACGAACGCUGGCGGCGUGCUUAACACAUGCAAGUCGAACGAGAGCGUGGAGAAAGCUUGCUUUUUCUACAAUCUAGUGGCAAACGGGUGAGUAACGCGUAAACAACCUGCCCUACGGAUGGGGACAACAGCUGGAAACGGCUGCUAAUACCGAAUACGUUCCGAAAGUCGCAUGACUGUCGGAAGAAAGGAUGGCCUCUAUUUAUAAGCUAUCGCCGGAGGAGGGGUUUGCGUCUGAUUAGCUAGUUGGAGGGGUAACGGCCCACCAAGGCGACGAUCAGUAGCCGGUCUGAGAGGGUGAACGGCCACAUUGGAACUGAGACACGGUCCAGACUCCUACGGGAGGCAGCAGUGGGGAAUCUUCCGCAAUGGGCGAAAGCCUGACGGAGCAACGCCGCGUGAGUGAAGACGGCCUUCGGGUUGUAAAGCUCUGUUAUACGGGACGAAUAAUCUUGUGGUUAAUACCCAUGAGAAGUGACGUACC
Molecule: ribosomal RNA, 484 nt
Filed under: Megasphaera micronuciformis
Lineage: Bacteria; Bacillati; Bacillota; Negativicutes; Veillonellales; Veillonellaceae
Description: bacterial SSU rRNA
Rfam family: Bacterial small subunit ribosomal RNA
Source: RNAcentral